CAGCCGCCGCGGGAAUACGUAGGGUGCGAGCGUCAAUCGGAAUUACUGGGCGUAAAGCGUGCGCAGGCGGUUUUGUAAGACAGGCGUGAAAUCCCCGGGCUCAACCUGGGAAUGGCGCUUGUGACUGCAAAGCUAGAGUGCGGCAGAGGGGGAUGGAAUCCCGCGUGUAGCAGUGAAAUGCGUAGAUAUGCGGAGGAACACCGAUGGCGAAGGCAAUCCCCUGGGCCUGCACUGACGCUCAUGCACGAAAGCGUGGGGAGCAAACAGGAUUAGAUACCCCCGUAGCCCUGUCUCUUAUACC
Molecule: ribosomal RNA, 301 nt
Filed under: uncultured bacterium
Lineage: Bacteria
Description: partial 16S ribosomal RNA
Rfam family: Bacterial small subunit ribosomal RNA
Source: RNAcentral